CCUACGGGAGGCUGCAGUAGGGAAUAUUGCUCAAUGGGGGAAACCCUGAAGCAGCAACGCCGCGUGGAGGAUGAAGGUUUUCGGAUUGUUAAACCCUUUUGUUAGAGAAGAUAAUGACGGUAUCUAACGAAUAAGCACCGGCUAACGCCGUGCCAGCAGCCGCGGUAACACGGAGGGUGCAGGCGUUACUCGGAAUCACUGGGCGUAAAGAGCGCGUAGGCGGGAUAGCAAGUCAGAUGUGAAAUUCUAUGGCUUAACCAUAGAACUGCAUUUGAAACUGUGAUUCUAGAGUAUGGGAGAGGUAGGUGGAAUGCGUGGUGUAGGGGUAAAAUGCGUAGAGAUCAAGAGGAAUACUGAUUGCGAAGGCGACCUGCUAGAACAUAACUGACGCUGAUGCGCGAAAGCGUGGGGAGCAAACAGGAUUAGAUACCCGUGUAGUC
Molecule: ribosomal RNA, 440 nt
Filed under: uncultured bacterium
Lineage: Bacteria
Description: partial 16S ribosomal RNA
Rfam family: Bacterial small subunit ribosomal RNA
Source: RNAcentral